AACACAAAGAAGAAGAACUUCAGCUUUAAAGGUGACCCGGAUCUUCUUCGCGCUUCAGUUUGAAUGGCGGCUGAGAGGAGUGUGCGUGAGAGAGUGUUUGGCGAGUGUUUGGCGAGUGUUUGGGUGAGUGAAUGUGCGGUGUUUGUGAGUGUGACUGAGUACUUUAAAAACCUACACAGUGAUCUUAUUUGAUCUGGUCCGGGUCUUGGCCUUGCUCGGGUCAGAGAUGAUAUGAAAGCAGCUCUGCAGCCUGUGGGCGGUGAGCAGCGGCGGUAAGCUUAGGGCCUCCACGGCUCCGUGCUGUGGUCAGAGGUGAUGAGUUGAUCAGAUAUACUAGUCCUCCGGGUCCGGUUCAUCCCGGGCUCUUCUGGACGAUGAGUAAAGAGGCGAUUCUGAUCUAA
Molecule: non-coding RNA, 401 nt
Organism: Centropristis striata (black sea bass)
Lineage: Eukaryota; Metazoa; Chordata; Actinopteri; Perciformes; Serranidae
Product: small Cajal body-specific RNA 2
Exons: 1
Source: RefSeq, a predicted model, not a curated record